Molecule: long non-coding RNA, 1094 nt
Filed under: Castor canadensis (American beaver)
Lineage: Eukaryota; Metazoa; Chordata; Mammalia; Rodentia; Castoridae
Description: lncRNA (ENSCCNG00000015881.1)
Source: RNAcentral
UCUGCUUUUGUUAAUUAAAAGCCAACUGACUAGGAUCUUAAUUGAUCAGCAUAAUCCCUUCUGCUCUACAGAGCAACAUAAUCACAGAGUGUUAUCUGUCGUAUUCCCACUCUGGAUCACACUUGAGGAAAGAGAUCUUGUAGGAUGCCUACAUAAGGGGCUUAGAUUCUCAUGGGCCACCUUAGAGUUUUGCUACCCACAGCCACUGUUUUUAUUUGCUGUUAGAUUUUAGUGGUACAGAGUUGAUUUUUUUUUCUCUUUUUCCCUGUGUACUUGAGUUUUUAAAAAAAAUGAAGUUUUGAGAAAAAUGAAAAUGAGAUCUAAUAGAACAUAUUUGAAUUGUAUCGUGGAAAAUAACCUUGGCAUGCUUAGGUUCCGAGGCUCUGCUCCGGAGCAGACGUCCUGGGCUGUCACCUUCAUGAGACAAAAUAUUCAGUAGCAAGUUUCUGAAGACUGUUUAUGGCCUACCAUUAUCAACCAUGGGCUACCCAGUUAUAAAGCUACUAACCAAAUCAAUUUCACAAAAUGUUUGCCGCCUAUUGCAACUUUAGUACCACUCAUUCCUUGCAGGUAGGCUACUGUCAGCACAAUUACUGAGCUGCUUUGGAACUGUUCUCUAGCAAAACCCACUUUCCCCCACUAUAAAGGUAGGCCUGGCGGGGUUUCUUACCACUCAUUAGCACUUUAAUUCCCCAUUUCCUCAUUUACUCAUGUUUCUUGUACCGGUAAUACUACGUUAUUCCAGGGUAAUGCCAUUUCAAUGCUGAGAGUGUACACCAGUUGCCAGGGUUUAAAGCAAAGAUGGAGAAUUUUCUCUGUGAAGAAUUCAACAUCAGCUUGACACUAAUGAUCCUGAGUGGCAGGUAAUGAAAGGCUGCAAGCCAGAGAGAAAUAAUUCCACAAACAUACAUUUCUCUGUAACAAUCAGCUUUUAACAGCCAGCCUCUGUGGUGCACUGGGUAACUACACUAGGCAUAUUCCUGCAUCCUAGCUUAUGAGACUAACAUUUUCCCUUUGGAAACUUUUAAUUGUUUUCUUAAGAGGGAUGAUAUAAUUUAUAACUAUCCAUUUUUUUUAAAAGAUGCACAAAUUAU